RNAcentral lists this transfer-messenger RNA (363 nucleotides) under Salmonella enterica. It matches the Rfam family "transfer-messenger RNA". Rfam says of the family: Bacterial tmRNA, also known as 10Sa RNA or SsrA, is named for its dual tRNA and mRNA-like properties. Its role is to liberate the mRNA from a stalled ribosome. The record is from RNAcentral. RNAcentral also lists the same sequence under 1 other name. Lineage: Bacteria; Pseudomonadati; Pseudomonadota; Gammaproteobacteria; Enterobacterales; Enterobacteriaceae.
GGGGCUGAUUCUGGAUUCGACGGGAUUUGCGAAACCCAAGGUGCAUGCCGAGGGGCGGUUGGCCUCGUAAAAAGCCGCAAAAAAAUAGUCGCAAACGACGAAACCUACGCUUUAGCAGCUUAAUAACCUGCUUAGAGCCCUCUCUCCCUAGCCUCCGCUCUUAGGACGAGGAUCAAGAGAGGUCAAACCCAAAAGAGAUCGCGCGGAUGCCCUGCCUGGGGUUGAAGCGUUAAAACGAAUCAGGCUAGUCUGGUAGUGGCGUGUCCGUCCGCAGGUGCCAGGCGAAUGUAAAGACUGACUAAGCAUGUAGUACCGAGGAUGUAGGAAUUUCGGACGCGGGUUCAACUCCCGCCAGCUCCACCA